GAGGAGUUCAGAAGGCUUUAUCAGGUUUGCGCUACCAGUUCAUCUUGUGCUCACUGAUAGCUGAGAACUUGGUGUUUAUCAGGUCAUGGCAAAGUGAAAUUAGAAAACACUAAAUCUUGCUUUCCGUGACUUCAGUGAACCACUGAACCUAAGACCAGCACAAACACCUUCAUCUCAGGAGACGGCAGGAACAUCCAGGGAUAACUGAGGGUCUUUGUCUCUUGAAAUGCAAGUGGAAACUGAUGAAGUCCAGUGGCAGGAAAGUUAAAUGUGCAGGGAGAGUGGAUGCUCACGGGAGAGCAAAUAGGCAGGUAAGGGGAUAGUGCACGUACCAAGAGUACUGCACACUAUCGUUGUGCUCUGGCACAUGUUAUUGUGAGAACACAUGGGGUCACAUUUCGUACUGCAGCACCAGGACCAAGGUUGCUGUGCCUGAAAAGAGCCUCAGAUCACAAAACUACCUCAGAUCACAGGGCUUUAGCUUUUCAGCCCUUCCCUUUGGAGCGGUGGGAAAGCCUGGCCUAUCAGGGAGGUGUUUUCUUCGCGAAGGCCCGCGGCGUGUUGGGCGCUUGGUACUGCAGCGGCACCGUGUGGCUGUGGGUGGCACCGUGUGGCUGUGGGUGGCACUGUGUGGCUGUAGGUGGCACCGGCUCCCCCGCGCGGGGCCGCGGCUCAGGCGGGAGGAGAGCCCGGAGCAGCCUGGCCAGCCCGGGCGCGGGACCGUUCUGUAAUUCAUAACGUCAGGUCCCAGCUGGGCCAAAGACAACAGCAUCUGGAAAAAGAGAGCAGCAAGCCAGGUAUCCGUGGCCUGGAGCACUCUGCAGCCCCCCGGCAUGCUCUGCUGCCAUGUGUGCAGGUCUACCAGCUGCCAGGAGUCUGUCUCAGUACCAAGAGAGCCUCCAAAACAAAACACAUCUCUGAUGGAUCUUCAAAACACCUAAAGUUUGUCACAGGUGCUGUGACCUCCCUCCUGGCUGGCAUACCUGUGACACUUCACCUCCUGUGAAGGCUGCUGAGACAAGCGGUCACUGUGAGACGGAGGUGUGGAAAGUGGUGGAUCAAGUGUGCUGCAGCUGGCUGAAAAGAAGAGAAAUCAAUAAUCUGCAGCAGAGCAGCAAUCUCUGGAUGUCUGAUUGCAGCUGACAGGUACAAUCACGAGUGGCAGCAACAGUGACAGCGGGUCUCACUGAGCAGCCGAGCCUGAGGACCAGGAGGGUAAUGGUUACCUCCAGAGCCGAGUUCCAGAGGCUCGGCUCCGUGUCUCCGCCGAGGCACUGCCGCCGCUCUGUGGCCCCGGGCGGAGCUGACACGCCCCGAGGCUGCGAGGCUGCGUCCGGUGAAGCGCGUCCCCUUCGCAUCACUUCCACUGCCCACGGAGCCUAGAUCAGCUGAAAGAGCCCUUCAUCCUGCUAAUGCUGAGUUGGGCUGAGGUCCUGCACAUUUGCUGGAGGGGCUGAGACGAAUCUGCAUCGAGGGAUCUGCACAGUGAGGAGAUGGCUCUUGGCCGGGGGUGCACCCAGCUCAGCCACCCACCUUUCCCUCCUUGGAAAGGAGACAGCGCUGGUCAGUCUCUGAGGACUCUUAAGGACUGUCUCUCGCUAUCCUGAGAGUUUGGGCUCUGACAAUUCACAUCAGAUCCCAGUUCAUCUGUGAGGCACAGGCAUUUUAAAUGUGUGCUGUGGUAACGGUGUUAGUCACCUGGUAGAUUAACCCUCAGCAAGAGGCAGAACGGGAGCUCACUGACCGAGAGAGAGGGAGCACUCCUGUUCCCAGGUGUCCUGACAGGCAUUACCAAGACACGAGCCUGGUUGAAAAGGCAAGCAGAUGAUUAUACUUCAUUCCUGUAUUUCCAGUGCCAUCUUCUGUACAGAAGAGGAAACCUCAGAGUUCAGCAGCUCUGAGGAAUGAAACUGGAAAAUUCUUCCCCCACCCACGUGGAAAAACUCAGUCACUAUUGAAAUUAAACACUGAAGGAUUUACAUUUUCAGUAGCUCAACAGCACACUGAGUUGUGUGCUAGAGACACCCACAGGUGCCAAAACCUUCUAAUUUUACAAAGAAAGUAUAUUGGCCUCCCUUUGUGUUUGUCAUAAAUUCGUGCAGUUUCUGGGAUGGGAUGUAAUGGGUGACAGAAAUAAACAUCCACUAUUAUCAAAAAAGUAAAGCAUAAGUCUGGCUAUAAAUAUCAAAACCUCAUGUCAAAUAAAUUCAUAGGGCCAUGAUUAAAGUAUGUGAUCAGGUAUAGUCGUUUUUCUUCUCUCUGUCAUCCUGAGCUUUUCCCAGAGAUUUUCAGCCCAAGACUGCUGUGGGGCUGCAGUGUGCUGGCUGUGCCAAGGAACACACACCUCAUCCUUGAAGACUACACUGCAUCCAACCACACAGUCAAAGGACUGCAGGAAACAUUUGCACUGAAUAGCUUUUUUAUAUUGUAUCAAGAGUUUGCAAAUAUUUAAAAAAACCCUGAAACAAAAACAAGUUGGAUUUUCUUGUCCCUAAUUUCAAUUUCAAAUAUUAAGAACAAACCUGAUUUUUAUCACUUGAUGCCUUGCUUGGUUGAACCACACAGAGCCAUUGUCAAAGCUGGAUCCAGAGCAGUAGCUUUGAAGAGCCGCAUCUCUGGAAGUGUUCAAGGCCAGACUGGAUAAGGCUUUGAGCACCUGAGCCUAAUGGAUGUUCUUAUUAGGGGUGAGUAGGUGAACUUUAAACGUCUCUCCUAACCCAAAGCAUUCUGUGAUUUCAUUCAUCCUUCUACUUUCCUACAGUGCCUAGAAAAUUACUUGAUUACUUGAUUAAUUACAUUCAGGAGGUUUUCCACUAAGCACUAUUCAGCAUGAUUAUCUCCAGACUUUCAUUAAAGAGACAGACAAGGUCUUAUCAUCUUCCCUAAUAGCUGCCCCAUGCUGCCCUGCCAGAUCUGAUAAGCUCUGAAGAUGAUUUGGAACAGCCUUAGAACAUCCAACCACUUAAUUGGGGUCAGUGUCUUCACGUUUGCAGAUGCUUCUGCGACUGAAUGAUCAAAUUACUCUCCUGUGUGAUCAGGACGAGCAGUCCAUGGCACUGUGAGCAUCCCUACAGGAGACAGAGAAGGUGCUCGGGCAGUGAAGUCAUCCUCCCGUGACUCUGGGCCUGUGGCAGGGCCACACUGGGCAGCAGCACUGUGUCCCCAGCUCUGGCUCUGGUCACAUCUGCAAUUUGCUGGCCAAAUCAGUUGAGGACUCUGCCCUGCAGGCUGUGAAAGCUGGAACUGAGUGAAUUAAAGACUCCAAGCAAACUCCUCUGAAACCUGGAUUUAGGUUCUUGUUUCCACAACACUCACAGUUUGUUUAAACUAUGGAAGUGAGUGAAGCAAUUUUGGCUGAGCACCCUGUUUCGAGUUUGUUUUCCAGUUGUCUGCAGUAUUUGAGUCUCCCUCCCACCAAACUUUAGAAUCCAGAUUCUGUGGGAAACUUUCCAAAUUCUGGCUGGAAUACUGAACCAUUAAUUCCCAACUUGCCCAUCUGCCAGGUUUAGAAAAGAUUUCUUUAAAUCCUUUAAAACAUAUGUCUAAACUGCUUGUUUAUCUGUCAACAUUGUCUCACACUGUUUAAUUUUAAAGCUUAACUUUUUAAACCUCUCAAGGCUGACCCUGCUCUGAACAUGAGGAGAUGUCAGUAACUUUGCACCAUGUAACAACUGCCUGUGGUACCAGACUGGCUGCCUGCCCACUGACCACACACCGAGGUGCUCAGAUUCUCCUACAACAGCCUUUUCCCUAACCCCUGCUAAAAUAUAUAUUUAAAAAAAAAAUGGCUGAGGAAGGAGAAAAUGCAAUUUCCUUGUUAGCUUACCCAAGCUGUCCAGAGGCAAUGCUGGAGCUUGAUGCCCUGAGGGGAGCUCAGCUGGUGCAGACAGACAGAAUUGUUGCCUGUUUAUGUGCUUUGCCACAGGGGCUGGCUGCUGACAGGACCAGUUCAUAUGGAGCUUUAUGGGACACCAAUUUCAGUUCAGACAGAACAGUUCUCUUGGUUAAAUGGCUGAGUGUUUGCAGAAGAGUUGCUGGCUCCUCUCGGCUCCCCCAGUCUCAAGAGUUGGGAGCACCAGCAGAGAUUUCCCCAUUUAAGCAUCCCUGUGCUCCAGUAUUCCUCUGCUUCCACUGCCAGAGCGU
Molecule: long non-coding RNA, 4143 nt
Organism: Prinia subflava (tawny-flanked prinia)
Lineage: Eukaryota; Metazoa; Chordata; Aves; Passeriformes; Cisticolidae
Exons: 5
Source: RefSeq, a predicted model, not a curated record